RNAcentral lists this ribosomal RNA (440 nucleotides) under uncultured bacterium. RNAcentral's name for it is "partial 16S ribosomal RNA". It matches the Rfam family "Bacterial small subunit ribosomal RNA", at positions 338 to 795 of the family's 1533-position model. The record is from RNAcentral.
CCUACGGGUGGCAGCAGUGGGGGAUAUUGCACAAUGGGGGAAACCCUGAUGCCGCGACGCCGCGUGAUCGAGACGCCCUUCGGGGUGUAAAGAUCUGUCCGUGGGGACGAAACUUGACGGUACCCACAGAGGAAGCACCGGCUAACUCCGUGCCAGCAGCCGCGGUAAUACGGGGGGUGCAAGCGUUGUCCGGAAUCAUUGGGUUUAAAGGGAGCGUAGGCCGCAUGUCAAGCGUGCUGUGAAAUGUCCGGGCUCAACCCGGGCCUUGCAGCGCGAACUGGCGUGCUUGAGUCCGCGGAAAGCAGGCGGAAUUCGUCGUGUAGCGGUGAAAUGCUUAGAUAUGACGAAGAAUCCCGAUUGCGAAGGCAGCUUGCUGCAGCGGAACUGACGCUGAUGCUCGAAAGCGCGGGUAUCGAACAGGAUUAGAUACCCUUGUAGUC